This 213-nucleotide ribosomal RNA is filed under the name uncultured bacterium. RNAcentral's name for it is "partial 16S ribosomal RNA". It matches the Rfam family "Bacterial small subunit ribosomal RNA", at positions 524 to 736 of the family's 1533-position model. The record is from RNAcentral.
UACGUAGGUGGCAAGCGUUGUCCGGAAUUAUUGGGCGUAAAGCGCGCGCAGGCGGCCUCUUAAGUCUGAUGUGAAAGCCCCCGGCUCAACCGGGGAGGGCCAUUGGAAACUGGGAGGCUUGAGUAUAGGAGAGAAGAGUGGAAUUCCACGUGUAGCGGUGAAAUGCGUAGGAGAUGUGGAGGACACCAGUGGCGAAGGCGACUCUUUGGCCUA